GAGAUAUUUUGACAGUGCAGAUCACCUUGUAUAUAUAUUAUACUUUGCGUUAUAGCCACUGAAACUUCAAAACAUUUAGAUAUGGUCUUAUAGCCCAGUCACAACGUGCAGCUACAGGUCCUCACUGAGCUCCUUUCAGAUUCCGUCUGGCCCUAGCCAUGACUUUCCCCAAACCAACAGCAGAGAGCUUUUGUUUUUCACCUGUUGAGUUGAUUAAAACAGCAGUUCCAAAUGAAUCAGGGUAAUUAGGAGGCUUUGAAACAGCUUGGACUAUUUGUAA
This is a non-coding RNA of Danio rerio (zebrafish), 280 nucleotides long. Lineage: Eukaryota; Metazoa; Chordata; Actinopteri; Cypriniformes; Danionidae. The record is from Ensembl.